CGUCAACCCCGACGCCCUCCGCUUCCGCUUCGGCGAGGGACAUCGAUGACCUGCCGAAGAACACGGCCAACUAUCCUGUCGGUCCUUUCGGCACGAAGUAAACAGAAAAUGCAACUCAGUGCUGGGAGUUUAUAAAGUUGUAGAGGCAUGUCGUUUGGUGGCUGAUUGUUCAUUUGCGAGUCCAAGUUUGACAACCAACGAAAGCUGUUUACCAUUGAUUAUCGAGUUAAGAACGAGGACGAAGCAGCUGCAAAAGAAAAGGAGAGAGAAUGCCACGAUGAACACCGAGUAAAGUACUAACUUCUCAAGCAAAGAAAGAAGAUGCUUCCUCUAUGUUCUUCCCAAGGGAGCUCGCGCAUGGAUGCUUUUGGUGGAAAAGCUACUUCGUUUAUCUAAUCAUUGUUCGUUGAGACUAAUCUGCUUGAGCAUAAUUGCAAGGAAUAUUGGUACCUUCAUCCUCUCUGAGUUAUAGUCCACAAUGAGUUGAGCAAAAUGCUGUGUGCUUACCAAAAUAAUAUCUGAACUAGUGACCUCAAAGGAGUAUUUUACUAUAAAGUAAAUGCAGGUCCAUCAUGCUAUCUAGUUAAUUCCUCCCUUCUUUUCUCCCUGAAUAAUGCAAGACACUGGGUGAGCUUUGCAUUUUGCAUGUGAUGCUGAUCUCUAGUCUGAUUGCUGCUUAAACAGGCCCGGGUAUCUGGGUUUGGAGGAUGGUUCCUUUUGAGGCUCUUGCUUUAUGAUCCUGUUCUUCCUCUUAACAUUGAGGCACCAACUCACGAUGACGCUGUAAAACUUGGACUUGCCGUGCUUGGGGCUAUUAAGGAGUUUGCAGCUUUGGAUACAUCCGCUUUAGACAAGUUUGUUCAAGUAUCAUGAGCCGAUGAUGCAGAGCGCUUUGGUACAAGUAUCUUUCGGCACAUUAUACUGGCAGUUAAAGUCGGCUUUUGCGUCUACCUCUGUACAGUACGUAUAAUCAGUGCGUCAAUCUCUGAUUCUGAGGAGGUUCAUUUUCCAGAUGGUUUUCGUCACAGGCACUCAAAAUACUACUUGAUGGCUAUGUUUACUUUAGUUUUUACUUAUGUUCCAUGUAUGCAACAGAGAUGUUCUGAUAAAUAAGAAACGUUCUUCGACUACAGAAUUUUUCGGAGGGAUGUUUGAA
Molecule: long non-coding RNA, 1156 nt
Organism: Eucalyptus grandis
Lineage: Eukaryota; Viridiplantae; Streptophyta; Magnoliopsida; Myrtales; Myrtaceae
Exons: 5
Source: RefSeq, a predicted model, not a curated record